AGCUCAAUUGGAUAGAGUGUUGGACUACGAAUCCAAAGGUCGCAGGUUCGACUCCUGCC
Molecule: transfer RNA, 59 nt
Filed under: Actinomycetes bacterium
Lineage: Bacteria; Bacillati; Actinomycetota; Actinomycetes
Description: tRNA-Arg
Rfam family: tRNA
About the family: Transfer RNA (tRNA) molecules are approximately 80 nucleotides in length. Their secondary structure includes four short double-helical elements and three loops (D, anti-codon, and T loops). Further hydrogen bonds mediate the characteristic L-shaped molecular structure. tRNAs have two regions of fundamental functional importance: the anti-codon, which is responsible for specific mRNA codon recognition, and the 3' end, to which the tRNAs corresponding amino acid is attached (by aminoacyl-tRNA synthetases). tRNAs cope with the degeneracy of the genetic code in two manners: having more than one tRNA (with a specific anti-codon) for a particular amino acid; and 'wobble' base-pairing, i.e. permitting non-standard base-pairing at the 3rd anti-codon position.
Source: RNAcentral